This 446-nucleotide ribosomal RNA is filed under the name uncultured bacterium. Its description in RNAcentral is "bacterial SSU rRNA". It matches the Rfam family "Bacterial small subunit ribosomal RNA", at positions 331 to 794 of the family's 1533-position model. The record is from RNAcentral.
CCAGACUCCUACGGGAGGCAGCAGUGGGGAAUAUUGGACAAUGGGGGAAACCCUGAUCCAGCGACGCCGCGUGAGUGAAGAAGUAUUUCGGUACGUAAAGCUCUAUCAGCAGGAAAGAAAAUGACGGUACCUGACUAAGAAGCCCCGGCUAACUACGUGCCAGCAGCCGCGGUAAUACGUAGGGGGCAAGCGUUAUCCGGAAUUACUGGGUGUAAAGGGAGCGUAGACGGUGAAGUAAGUCUGGAGUGAAAGGCGGGGGCCCAACCCCCGGACUGCUCUGGAAACUAUUUGACUGGAGUGCAGGAGAGGUAAGCGGAAUUCCUAGUGUAGCGGUGAAAUGCGUAGAUAUUAGGAGGAACACCAGUGGCGAAGGCGGCUUACUGGACUGUAACUGACGUUGAGGCUCGAAAGCGUGGGGAGCAAACAGGAUUAGAUACCCGCGUAUU